RNAcentral lists this ribosomal RNA (515 nucleotides) under uncultured bacterium. RNAcentral describes it as "partial 16S ribosomal RNA". It matches the Rfam family "Bacterial small subunit ribosomal RNA", at positions 28 to 523 of the family's 1533-position model. The record is from RNAcentral.
GAUGAACGCUGGCGGCGUGCCUAAUACAUGCAAGUCGAGCGAAUGGACUAAGAGCUUGCUCUUAUGAAGUUAGCGGCGGACGGGUGAGUAACACGUGGGUAACCUGCCCAUAAGACUGGGAUAACUCCGGGAAACCGGGGCUAAUACCGGAUAACAUUUUGAACCGCAUGGUUCGAAAUUGAAAGGCGGCUUAGGCUGUCACUUAUGGAUGGACCCGCGUCGCAUUAGCUAGUUGGUGAGGUAACGGCUCACCAAGGCAACGAUGCGUAGCCGACCUGAGAGGGUGAUCGGCCACUCUGGGACUGAGACACGGCCCAGACUCCUACGGGAGGCAGCAGUAGGGAAUCUUCCGCAAUGGACGAAAGUCUGACGGAGCAACGCCGCGUGAGUGAUGAAGGCUUUCGGGUCGUAAAACUCUGUUGUUAGGGAAGAACAAGUGCUAGUUGAAUAAGCUGACACCUUGACGGUACCUAACCAGAAAGCCACGGCUAACUACGUGCCAGCAGCCGCUGUAA